UACGAAGGGGGCUAGCGUUGUUCGGAAUCACUGGGCGUAAAGCGCACGUAGGCGGAUUGUUAAGUCAGGGGUGAAAUCCUGGAGCUCAACUCCAGAACUGCCUUUGAUACUGGCGAUCUUGAGUCCGGGAGAGGUGAGUGGAACUGCGAGUGUAGAGGUGAAAUUCGUAGAUAUUCGCAAGAACACCAGUGGCGAAGGCGGCUCACUGGCCCGGUACUGACGCUGAGGUGGCGAAAGCGUGGGGAG
Molecule: ribosomal RNA, 246 nt
Filed under: uncultured bacterium
Lineage: Bacteria
Description: partial 16S ribosomal RNA
Rfam family: Bacterial small subunit ribosomal RNA
Source: RNAcentral